Molecule: long non-coding RNA, 602 nt
Organism: Musa acuminata AAA Group (dessert banana)
Lineage: Eukaryota; Viridiplantae; Streptophyta; Magnoliopsida; Zingiberales; Musaceae
Exons: 3
Source: RefSeq, a predicted model, not a curated record
GUGCAUUCGACACCUAAAUAUGUUCCAAUCUUAACACAGGGUGGAGAGAAGAAGGAAGGUGAGGAAACUAAUCCAUUCAGGUGGAUGAUUGAGGGUUUCUCUACCCUUCUAAACCAUACUGCAGUGACGCACCGCUCUGGGAAUUUCGCAGCUUGUGGCUUCACCUGGAAUUUGCAGCUGGAAAUAAAAUCGUCUGUAGAAGAUGAUGAGAAAUCUCUCUGUCUUUACCUAUUCUCAGUUGAAGUGUCGUCUAAUACUGGUUCGGUGGUCAAGGCAACCUACGAACUGAUGAUAUAUGACCAGUUAUGCGGGAAGCACAUACAGAUCAAAGGUGAAGACUAUUUCCAUGGCUCAUCUCGAUAUGGAUUAUGCUGUAUGGUCCCCUUAAAAAAAUUCAACGAUCCGAAAUCUGGACUACUAGUCAAUGAUUGUUGCGUUUUUGGUGCUGAAGUCAUGGAGGCUUUUGCAUGCAAAUUAGAUCGAGAAGGUGUCUCUGAGUGCUUGUCCCUGAAUAAGGAAAUAACCCCUCAAACAUAUACAUGGGUGAUCAAGAAUUUCUCGAAACUGAGUACAAAGCAAGUUUCUGAAGUUUUUACUUCAGG